Molecule: ribosomal RNA, 460 nt
Filed under: uncultured bacterium
Lineage: Bacteria
Description: partial 16S ribosomal RNA
Rfam family: Bacterial small subunit ribosomal RNA
Source: RNAcentral
CCUACGGGAGGCAGCAGUGAGGAAUAUUGGUCAAUGGACGAGAGUCUGAACCAGCCAAGUAGCGUGAAGGAUGACUGCCCUAUGGGUUGUAAACUUCUUUUAUAUAGGAAUAAAAUGAUCCACGUGUGGGAUUUUGUAUGUACCAUAUGAAUAAGGAUCGGCUAACUCCGUGCCAGCAGCCGCGGUAAUACGGAGGAUCCGAGCGUUAUCCGGAUUUAUUGGGUUUAAAGGGAGCGUAGGUGGAUUGUUAAGUCAGUUGUGAAAGUUUGCGGCUCAACCGUAAAAUUGCAGUUGAUACUGGCAGUCUUGAGUACAGUAGAGGUGGGCGGAAUUCGUGGUGUAGCGGUGAAAUGCUUAGAUAUCACGAAGAACUCCGAUUGCGAAGGCAGUUCACUAGACUGCAACUGACACUGAGGCUCGAAAGUGUGGGUAUCAAACAGGAUUAGAUACCCGGGUAGUC